AUCAUAGAAUGGAUUAUAAGUUGAAUUAAGAUGGAAGUAGUAAGCCUUGGUAUUUCGUAGUUUGAUAAUUGAUUUCAGAUAGCUAGAGUACAGUCAAUUGUGACACUAACAGAUCCAAUUCAUAUAAUCAGUCUUUUCCCGUGUUCGAACCGACCUCUAUUAGUUCAAUUGCUUUAGUCUACUAAAGCUUGAAUGCAACGAGAACAACAUUUUGGCAUCACUGUCGGGGAAAUGAUAACAACA
RNAcentral lists this long non-coding RNA (243 nucleotides) under Physcomitrium patens. RNAcentral describes it as "long non-coding RNA (PPAT_LNC008089)". The record is from RNAcentral. Lineage: Eukaryota; Viridiplantae; Streptophyta; Bryopsida; Funariales; Funariaceae.